AUUAGAUUAAAAACCAAUGCCCUUCGGGGCUCUCUGGUGAUUCAUGAUAACUUCUCGAAUCGCAUGCCCUUGCGCCGGCGAUGGUUCAUUCAAAUUUCUUCCCUAUCGACUUUCGAUGUUUGGGUAUUGGCCAAACAUGGUUGCAACGGGUAACGGAGGGUUAGGGCUCGACCCCGGAGGAGGAGCCUGAGAAACGGCUACUACAUCCAAGGAAGGCAGCAGGCGCGCAAAUUACCCAAUCCCGACUCGGGGAGGUAGUGACAAUAAAUACUGAUACAGGGUUCUUUCGGAUCUUGUAAUUGGAAUGAGUACAAUUUAAAUCCCUUAACGAGGAACAAUUGGAGGGCAAGUCUGGUGCCAGCAGCCGCGGUAAUUCCAGCUCCAAUAGCGUAUAUUAAAGUUGUUGUGGUUAAAAAGCUCGUAGUUGAACCUUGGGCCUGGCUGGCCGGUCCGCCUCACCGCGUGUACUGGUCCGGCCGGGCCUUUCCCUCUGUGGAACCCUAUGCCCUUCACUGGG
RNAcentral lists this ribosomal RNA (517 nucleotides) under uncultured fungus. RNAcentral describes it as "SSU rRNA". It matches the Rfam family "Eukaryotic small subunit ribosomal RNA", at positions 209 to 726 of the family's 1831-position model. Lineage: Eukaryota; Fungi. The record is from RNAcentral.